Molecule: ribosomal RNA, 1219 nt
Filed under: Escherichia coli
Lineage: Bacteria; Pseudomonadati; Pseudomonadota; Gammaproteobacteria; Enterobacterales; Enterobacteriaceae
Description: partial 23S ribosomal RNA
Rfam family: Bacterial large subunit ribosomal RNA
Source: RNAcentral
GGGUUGUGAGGUUAAGCGACUAAGCGUACACGGUGGAUGCCCUGGCAGUCAGAGGCGAUGAAGGACGUGCUAAUCUGCGAUAAGCGUCGGUAAGGUGAUAUGAACCGUUAUAACCGGCGAUUUCCGAAUGGGGAAACCCAGUGUGUUUCGACACACUAUCAUUAACUGAAUCCAUAGGUUAAUGAGGCGAACCGGGGGAACUGAAACAUCUAAGUACCCCGAGGAAAAGAAAUCAACCGAGAUUCCCCCAGUAGCGGCGAGCGAACGGGGAGCAGCCCAGAGCCUGAAUCAGUGUGUGUGUUAGUGGAAGCGUCUGGAAAGGCGCGCGAUACAGGGUGACAGCCCCGUACACAAAAAUGCACAUGCUGUGAGCUCGAUGAGUAGGGCGGGACACGUGGUAUCCUGUCUGAAUAUGGGGGGACCAUCCUCCAAGGCUAAAUACUCCUGACUGACCGAUAGUGAACCAGUACCGUGAGGGAAAGGCGAAAAGAACCCCGGCGAGGGGAGUGAAAAAGAACCUGAAACCGUGUACGUACAAGCAGUGGGAGCACGCUUAGGCGUGUGACUGCGUACCUUUUGUAUAAUGGGUCAGCGACUUAUAUUCUGUAGCAAGGUUAACCGAAUAGGGGAGCCGAAGGGAAACCGAGUCUUAACUGGGCGUUAAGUUGCAGGGUAUAGACCCGAAACCCGGUGAUCUAGCCAUGGGCAGGUUGAAGGUUGGGUAACACUAACUGGAGGACCGAACCGACUAAUGUUGAAAAAUUAGCGGAUGACUUGUGGCUGGGGGUGAAAGGCCAAUCAAACCGGGAGAUAGCUGGUUCUCCCCGAAAGCUAUUUAGGUAGCGCCUCGUGAAUUCAUCUCCGGGGGUAGAGCACUGUUUCGGCAAGGGGGUCAUCCCGACUUACCAACCCGAUGCAAACUGCGAAUACCGGAGAAUGUUAUCACGGGAGACACACGGCGGGUGCUAACGUCCGUCGUGAAGAGGGAAACAACCCAGACCGCCAGCUAAGGUCCCAAAGUCAUGGUUAAGUGGGAAACGAUGUGGGAAGGCCCAGACAGCCAGGAUGUUGGCUUAGAAGCAGCCAUCAUUUAAAGAAAGCGUAAUAGCUCACUGGUCGAGUCGGCCUGCGCGGAAGAUGUAACGGGGCUAAACCAUGCACCGAAGCUGCGGCAGCGACGCUUAUGCGUUGUUGGGUAGGGGAGCGUUCUGUAAGCCUG